Molecule: ribosomal RNA, 291 nt
Filed under: uncultured Methylosinus sp.
Lineage: Bacteria; Pseudomonadati; Pseudomonadota; Alphaproteobacteria; Hyphomicrobiales; Methylocystaceae
Description: partial 16S ribosomal RNA
Rfam family: Bacterial small subunit ribosomal RNA
Source: RNAcentral
GUGGCAGCCGCCGCGGUAAUACGAAGGGGGCUAGCGUUGUUCGGAAUCACUGGGCGUAAAGCGCACGUAGGCGGAUUGUUAAGUCAGGGGUGAAAUCCCGAGGCUCAACCUCGGAACUGCCUUUGAUACUGGCGAUCUAGAGUCCGGGAGAGGUGAGUGGAACUGCGAGUGUAGAGGUGAAAUUCGUAGAUAUUCGCAAGAACACCAGUGGCGAAGGCGGCUCACUGGCCCGGAACUGACGCUGAGGUGCGAAAGCGUGGGGAGCAAACAGGAUUAGAUACCCCAGUAGUC